AUUGAACGCUGGCGGCAGGCCUAACACAUGCAAGUCGAGCGGAGCGGCGGACGGGUGGGUUAUGCCUAGGAAUCUGCCUGGCAGUGGGGGAUAACGUCCGGAACCGGGCGCUAAUACCGCAUACUAUCAGAUGAGCCUAGGUCGGAUUAGCUAGUUGGUGGGGUAAAGGCCUACCAAGGCGACGAUCCGUAACUGGUCUGAGAGGAUUAUCAGUCACACUGGAACUGAGACACGGUCCAGAUUCCUACGGGAGGCAGCAGAGGGGCAUAUUGGACACUGGGCGAAAGCCUGAUGCAGCCAUGCCGCGUGUGUGACGAAGGUCUUCGGAGUGUAAAACACUUUAAGUUGGGAGGCGGUACCAACAGAAUAAGCACCGGCUAACUUCGUGCCAGCAGCCGCGGUAAUUC
Molecule: ribosomal RNA, 407 nt
Filed under: uncultured bacterium
Lineage: Bacteria
Description: partial 16S ribosomal RNA
Rfam family: Bacterial small subunit ribosomal RNA
Source: RNAcentral